CAAAGACCAAUAUUUGGCAGCCAAGAUAAGUUUUAAACAGUAGUUAUAUAACUCGACUAUGGUUCUGCCUAACUUACCAUUGUCCUAUGAUAACUACUAUGUACAAUCAAACCAUACAUCAACCAAUGGCAGAUAUAAAAAACUUUUUAUGCGGGGUCAACACAUAAAAAUUUCACGCAUCAAAAAAUAAAAUUUCCAAGUUGAUUUUCAAGUAUCAAGAGCUCAACAUCUAAAAACUUAGUAGGAUAAAAUUGAACCAAUAUAACAAACUUUUCAAGUGAAAAGAAGAGAAGGAACUAGCCUGAUUCAAGCAAGUCAGACAAUAAUUUGAGGGGUAUAUAUAUAUAUAAGUACAUCCAAAAUAAGAAUAUAAGUCUACCACCGCCAUUACCACAACCACAUUGAGAAGAUAAGCCUACUAGUGAAUAACAUAAUCAUAAAUCGUUUACUUUAAGCUAAAUAAAGAUUUAUUUAUUUAUUCUUUUAUUUUUUACAAAGGGAAAAGGAAGGGGGAAAAUUGAAUUUUCUCAUCUUAAUUCAUUGACAUCUCAUCAAUACCUCUGGUUGAAACUCUUUACCCUUUUCCUGAAACAGUACUCCAAAACAAGAAUAUAAUAGACAGGGAGAUUACAAGCUAAGAAAUUACUUAUUACAUGUUGCAUAUAGAAACUCAUUGCAAAAUUACCACAAGAUAUAGUACAUACCACAUCGCU
RNAcentral lists this unclassified non-coding RNA (713 nucleotides) under Hevea brasiliensis (rubber tree). The record is from RNAcentral. Lineage: Eukaryota; Viridiplantae; Streptophyta; Magnoliopsida; Malpighiales; Euphorbiaceae.